This 420-nucleotide ribosomal RNA is filed under the name uncultured bacterium. RNAcentral describes it as "bacterial SSU rRNA". It matches the Rfam family "Bacterial small subunit ribosomal RNA", at positions 356 to 773 of the family's 1533-position model. The record is from RNAcentral.
GAGGAAUAUUGGUCAAUGGGCGCAAGCCUGAACCAGUCACGUCGCGUGAAGGAAGACGGCCCUACGGGUUGUAAACUUCUUUUGUAAGGGAAUAAAGUGUAGUACGUGUACUAUUUUGCAUGUACCUUACGAAUAAGGAUCGGCUAACUCCGUGCCAGCAGCCGCGGUAAUACGGAGGAUCCGAGCGUUAUCCGGAUUUAUUGGGUUUAAAGGGUGCGCAGGCGGGAGAUUAAGUCGGCGGUGAAAUUUUGCAGCUUAACUGUAAAAGUGCCUUCGAAACUGGUUUCCUUGAGUGUAGAUGAAGUAGGCGGAAUUUGUGGUGUAGCGGUGAAAUGCAUAGAUAUCACGAGGAACUCCGAUUGCGCAGGCAGCCUACUAAACUACUACUGACGCUCAGGCACGAAGGCGUGGGGAUCAAAC